Oncorhynchus tshawytscha (Chinook salmon) is the source of this 3563-nucleotide long non-coding RNA. RefSeq lists it as uncharacterized. The record is from RefSeq and is a predicted model, not a curated record. Lineage: Eukaryota; Metazoa; Chordata; Actinopteri; Salmoniformes; Salmonidae. The transcript has 2 exons.
CAUUACCGCCAUCUACUAGACUGGAGUAUAACUCUGUUAGGAAAUUAUGAUUAAUAUGACUGAACAAAUCAUUUUAAAUGGAACUGUAAGUAAACUUAUACUCUGUUAUAUUAUGUUUAAUAGACAAUAUGAGUUCAUAAGAAGAAAUUGUGUGACAGGAGAAAGGAGUAAUAAAAUGUUAAAGAACACCAUUCCAACUGGGCAGGAACAAAUGGGUUGGGGACUGUGUAAACACAUAAGGUCGUUAGCCUAUGGUUGACCCAACCUGAAACUUAGCUCUGGGGUUUUUAGAUUAGGCAGUGAGUGCAUUCCUAGGGUUUCUGUUAAUUAAAACUGUCAGUUCAGUGGUGAUCGAUAAUGUUGAGGGGUCAAAAGUUAUCUGGAGAGUGUGUUAGUAAGGUAGAACGAACUUUUCACCUUACUUUGUCCUGUCGAGAGGAGGGGGUUCGGUUAAGGCAGUGAAAUGACGUCAUGAUCUGUAUUUAAACUGAUGCAUGUGUUUGAGUGGUAGCGCGCUCCGAGAAUAAAUUCUAUUACCUAUUAUUGAAAGACUGGUCUGCGUCUAUUUUAUGCAAACAAGAAAUCUUACAAAUUCUCAUAAAAUAGAUUAAGGGCUUUCAAUUGAUGAAAGCACAUUGGCAUAAUUAAAUUAUAUUAACAAUUGGUCCUUCGAGUGGAUUCCACAAACUUCUCUGUCGUCCGAAGGGAAAAGCCGAAAACCGUGCGCACGGACGAGGCUGAACUCGUUUAAAAGUCCUGGCCUCCACCAGAGGUUUAAUAACAGGCCGGUAUAUAUAUCUUAGGUCGACAGAGAACGUGACGGAAUCGAACCGGCAUUGCUUUUCCCAGUCUACAGGACGAAGAUUUUAUGCACUACAGGUGAAUUACAGGUGAAGUCACUCAAUCCAGUCCCUGAGGCCUGUUGGGGGGACCAUACCAAGGACUCCUGGUGACAGCUAGCAGAAAGAACUACCCGGAUUCAUAUCACAUUGCGGGAGGUUAAGACACUCUGACACUGUCGAACAAUAACAGAGUUCGAGAGGAGAACUGGAAUUAACAGAAUUCUUGGGGCCAUCUCUCGAAUGAAAAAUACCUUACCUGUCCUUUCCUCACUGUUCUUGUUCAUAGAAGUGAAAAUGUGUCUGACUCUUGCUAAUGAUGUGUUUUCUGGAAGAGGGUGGGGCUUUAUAGGUGAGCUGUCCAUCCUAAGCUGUAUGGUUGGAGAUCUUAUUCCUACAACAUGAACCCGAGAAGGCCAGAGGGUAAUAUUGACAUAAUUAAACGAGAAAUUAGUAUUAACCAAGCAUAAGAGAUUACUUGAUCUGGAUAAACAGGAAGUGAGAGUAGGAUAGGGAGGGAUGUCUCAGUGGAGUUCUAUGUAAACCAAGUGGUGUCUGACUCCUUGGCAGUACAGGACUAAGAGUAGCUAUCAUGGAAGACAUAUAUGCAAGUCUCUGUGUAGUUCAUGGAAACAAGUUAUAGCUCACACCAUGUGAGAAGGCUACAUAAAUCUACAUACCCAGCAUGGAAGGAGAUGGAGUGUAGUGAAAGUAAGGGUUUCAGUUGAUAACCUAGUGCAUUCCAGGUAGAAAAAGUUAAGAGCAGCUGGUUGCUCUAUAGGCAGCAGAAUACAAGCAUGGUCCCUGACAAAGCAGAUACUGACUGUGGAGUUGUCCAGAGCCAAGAGCCGGUGUGGAUAGUUCAGAAAUGGAAUUAUUCACCUAAGGGAACAGCCUGUAUGGUAAAGCUAUUCAUGGAAGCAGGAAAGCCAGAUAAUAAGUUGUAUGGAUUUGCACUAUUUAUAUCCACAUGUUCCUCUGAAAUCUGAGCUUCCUCCUUUCACAGAGGCAACGGGAGACUGUUUAUUGUUUAAUUCAGUAUAGUACUCCUGAGAAAUAUGUGAGGUAAAAUCAGUACUGCAAUAGGACAGAUAAUGUUACUUCUGAUGCGACCAAUGAGUGAUUUGGCAGACUGGUUGAGAUCUGGGGAUUUCAGUAAGAUAAGGAGGCUCAGGGCUCACAUCUGUUGAAUGUGUGGGAGAAUGACAUGAUGGCGGAGUAUUACUGGCUAAUUGAACAGAGGUAUGUGUACUGAAACAUUUUGAGAAUGCCUUUUACGCUCAUUCAACACCAUGACAUGGUGUUGACUGAACGGGAGAAAAGAAGUACUCCGACUGGGUCUUUUGAUGAUAGGGUUUGUAUUAAUAACAUUGUGGAUCCAAGGGUGGCAGAUGAGAUCAAAGCUAUAAAUUAGAUCCUGGCAGGAUUAGAGUCAAGUAUUUUUUGGUGGUCCACUCUCAAUGAGAAUGUGGAUUGGAUCGAUUAUAUCUAUUAAAAAUCCACAGUGCUUCACCAAUUAUUUUAGAGAUGUAAUGAAUGACUUGGCAGAAUAGAAUAGUCUUGGAUGUUUGCUGGCUGAAGAGGGUGGGUGUGUAUAGGUAAUUUGACUCCGGGAUAUACAGUUAGGAUGGAUCAGUGACCAAGGCCUUGUCUGGUUUACACACCCUAGUUCACGAGUUGGAAAUAAACUCAGGGGUGGAUACUUCUUUGGCUAAUUGGGUUGACUGUGUGUUUGAAAGAUGGAAAAAUGUUAUGAUUACUGUGUUAUGGGCUACCUUCACCUGUGUGACUAUGUUAGUUUUGUACGGACGUGGUUGAUUGCGUGUAUGUAUGAAAGUUAUCAUUUCCAGGACUCUGGAGAAAUCGAUGACACUUCAGAUGGAGAUAUAUGGACCAAUCCUAAGCUCUGACCAGUGGAAUACAAAAUACAUGGCUUGGACGUAAUAGAAGAAUCCGGAUCCUUUCACUCGCGAGGAGACCAUAUUUGAUGUUUAGGAAAUUUAGAUGUUUUCUUAUUUCAAUGUAUAGACUGUUUUUUCAUGGAGAUUAACAGAAAAUCCUGAUAAGUAGAAUUAAGAUUCUGAUGUAGGAUAGAACAGUCAUGGAAGUUGAUUAUGUACAUACAUGUAUUGGUUGUCUUCUUUUAGUAUAUCAUUGAUAUUUCCAUGUAGUGUUUAAUGUUGGUAUGAGUUAAGUCAUUUUGAGGGUGGAUUGUUAGGAAAUUAUGAUUAAUAUGACUGAACAAAUCAUUUUAAAUGGAACUGUAAGUAAACUUAUACUCUGUUAUAUUAUGUUUAAUAGACUAUAUGAGUUCAUAAGAAGAAAUUGUGUGACAGGAGAAAGGAGUAAUAAAAUGUUAAAGAACACCAUUCCAACUGGGCAGGAACAAAUGGGUUGGGGACUGUGUAAACACAUAAGGUCGUUAGCCUAUGGUUGACCCAACCUGAAACUUAGCUCUGGGGUUUUUAGAUUAGGCAGUGAGUGCAUUCCUAGGGUUUCUGUUAAUUAAAACUCAGUUCAGUGGUGAUCGAUAAUGUUGAGGGGUCAAAAGUUAUCUGGGAGUGUGUUAGUAAGUUAGAAUGAACUUUUCACCUUACUUUGUCCUGUCGAGAGGAGGGGGUUCGGUUAAGGCAGUGAAAUGACGUCAUGAUCUGUAUUUAAACUGAUGCAUGUGGUUGAGUGGUAGCGCGCUCCGAGAAUAAAUUCUAUUACCUAUUAUUGAAA